UUUUCAUUUGCAUCCUCUGGUUUCCAACAUUGAGCGUCUUCUCCAAGUUUCCUCUCUCAUUCUUCUCCAAGCUUCCUCUCUCAAUCUCAAACGUCUGGGUUUCCAUUCAAGCAAUUCGUUCGUUUGUGCCUCAAAGAACAAAAAAGAUAAAAAUGACCCGACUAAGAACAAGGAGGAGAGCCAUAUCAGUUUACUUCAAGUUGGUUCAAGAUUAUUCAAGAGUUCAAAAUUCCUAAGUUAAUGUGUCAAUGGUGGCUAAUCAAAGGAUGAUAGAAGUGCGCUAUAUUAGAAUUCAAGACGGUAAACUAACAGGUAAGAAUUUGGAGAAAGUAUGAUGGAACUCUCAUCUCUGGAGGAGUGAGGAUUGGUAUCAAAAGGUGGCUAUUUGGAGGUUGAUGUUCAGAUAUAUGGAGUUGGUCUGUGGCAUACAUGGUUUUAUCGUGAUUUGACCAUUGCUGGAAGACUGAUUAUCAAAGAAGGAAAAAGUGACGGGUUGUUAAUGAUGGAUUUAAGGUGAAUACACAAACUCAUCUGCUUCCUGUGCUGGAAACAUAUGUUAAGGCUGAGCUCAAUAAAGUGGUUGCUGAUAAUGGCCCAGAUGGGAAGCCUAUUGAAAGCCCAAAUAGCCAGAAGCAUCAUUCUCUUCUUUUACAGUGGGGAGUGGCUACAAUGUCAGGGUGAUGAUCCGGCGUUAUCUGCUGAUGACUUAGUGGGUUAGGCUGCUGGUGUUUUUGGCUAUAUUAGGUGUAUGUAUGUGCUUAUGGGCUGUUUGGCUAUGUUUUAUUUCAAACACGCUGAAUAAAGCAUUUAACUGCAAAUGGAGAAUGAGACAUGUCUAAAUUUACUAAACUGUGUUGGCAUGGUUUUAGUAAUGACAAAACGUAUUUGCGGGUUAGAUUCUAUAUACCAUUUGAGGCAUUAAACCUUUUCAUUUUACAAAAGUAAGGUUCGUAACAAGCGACAGUGAGCAAAAUAUUGAAUAUUUGAAAUAAACAAAUCGAGAUGAGGUCUCAAGAGUUCAGCUAUGAUUUUUUGGCUGUAGUGGGGAGUGGCUACAAUGUCAGGUGAUGAUCCGACAUUAUUUGCUGAUGACUUAGCUGGUUAGGUUGUUGGUGUUUUUGGCUAUAUUGGGUAAAGUUUUCUUUUUCUUACUUUUUUUUUAUAAAUGGAAGAAGUUUAAUAGAUAUGUAAAUUGUUGUUCCAUACCAGGUGUAGGUAUGUGCUUAUGGGCCGUUUGGCUAUGUUUUAUUUCAAACACACUGAAUAAAGCAACUGGAAAUAAAAAAUGAGACAUGUCUAAAUUUACUAAACUGCGUUUGGCAUGGUUUUAGUAAUGACAAAACGUAUUUGCGGGUUAGAUUGGAUAUACCAUUUGAGGCAUUAAACCUUUUCAUUUUUUUAAAAAUGUAAGGUUCGUAACAAGUGGCGGUGAGCAAAAUAUUGAAUCUUUGAAAAAUCUAUAUAUAGGUCUUAAUAGUUCAGCUAUGAUUUUCUUAUAACUGUCUUUAUGGUUCGGUCAAAGAAUCCACAAUAGAAGAGUUAAAAAUGACAGUCAUGUCACCUAUGCCUGGGAUUUGGCCCUUGCAUAUUAAUAACCCGUCACCCGAGAUUUACAAGGUAUUUGAUGCAUUUGGAUAUGAUUUCUUUCAAACUUAUUUCAGCAUAUGGGCUAUUUCAAAAGUAUAACACAUUGUCACUUUAUUGUGUUUAUGUUAACACACAAGUUUUGUACUUUGUACACUAAUGCUUUCGAGUGAUUGUACGUUCCUCUUCUUAUUGGUUGUGAUGUUAAAACUAUCAUAUCAUACUCCCAGUAUCCCCUCGAGUUAAGGAGUUCAUUUCUCUAAACCAAGGGGCGUUGCUUUGAUUAAAAAGUCAAUAUAAUCAGGUUUGAAACUUAAAGGCCAUAUUUCUAUUUUGGUUCUACUCCUUGCUACUUUCUAGAAUGAACUCCUAUUCAUGCAAAGUUUUAGGCAAAUUUGUCAUCAGUUUUGAGACUUAAAACUAAAAAAAUUAGUAAAAGUAAAUUGGGUGAAAUGAGUUGAAAGUCAAACGGAAUGUGUCAAUAAUGCUUGCCUAUAACCUCUUAAACUUCUUUUUUUUUUUAAAAGAGAUGUGAUUAUUUCUUUAUAAUAUGUUUUUUAAUCAUACUUAACAUUUUAGUUGUUUAUAAAAUUGUAUAAGAAUGGGUAAAAAGCUUAUGGGCCAACCCAAACUGACCUGAUCUAUGACAAGCCUUACGAAAUUUACCCGUUUUAAUCCGUUAUGCAACCUGCCAAUUUGAGCUUGGCUAUCCGCUGCAAAUCACAUAAGUUUUGAAAUUAGAACUAUCAUAUUGAAGUUAUGCAAGGGUGUUUUAGGCAUCUUAAAAAAUUGAAGUGCAACGGCCAGGUAGAUCACAUCUUCCUUACAUAGUUGUCAAUAGUGGGCCUACUUGUGAGCAAAGAAAGAAAUGAAUUCCCGUAGGUAUAAAACUAUGAUUAUAGUUCAGCAAGACUUUAGAAGUUACAAUAUGGAUGGUGAUCGGUUUAGGUUGUUUUUUAAACUUAGAAACUGACAUGAUGGCAAUUUUUUGUAAUGUUUAUGUGGGUUUAGGUUGUUUUAUAAACUUAGAAAUUGACACGACGGCCAAUUUUGUAAUGUUUAUGUGGGUUUAACAUAUAUUAUGGAUAGCGAUUAAAACACAUAUAGUUAAUUCAUUUUAUGUAUAUUUUUGUAACUUUUCAUUUUAUUUUAUAGUAUGCGUUGCGGUGUGGUUUACUUUCAGCUUCCGUGUGUAUUAAGGGGUAAGAUUCGUUAUCAUUGGUUUUGUGGUCCAAUGAUUGUAUCUCUUUGAGUUUCCAUUGGCAACUCGGCUGGCGAAUUGUUGUACCAUUUUUUAGUAUUAAUGGAAGUUAGAUUGACCAGUGACUAUCUUAUGCUAUUUUAUAUGUAUGCAUUCAGAUCAUCAUGUUUGGACAGGGUGUGUUUUGAUGCAGGUGCAUUUGGUGAUUGAUUGGGUUAUGAGUGCAUGAUUCCAAACAGAGUUUAAUAUUUUAUAUGUAUAUGUAUUUUUAAUUGUAUUUCUA
This 3068-nucleotide long non-coding RNA is filed under the name Helianthus annuus (common sunflower). The record is from RNAcentral. Lineage: Eukaryota; Viridiplantae; Streptophyta; Magnoliopsida; Asterales; Asteraceae.